This 145-nucleotide unclassified non-coding RNA is filed under the name uncultured Phialocephala. Its description in RNAcentral is "sequence contains ITS2". The record is from RNAcentral. Lineage: Eukaryota; Fungi; Ascomycota; Leotiomycetes; Helotiales.
GACCACUCAAGCUUAGCUUGGUAUUGGGGCACGCGGUUCCGCGGCCCUCAAAAACAGUGGCGGCGCCGGUGGGCUCUAAGCGUAGUACAUACUCCCGCUAUAGAGUUCCCCCGGUGGCUCGCCAAAAUCCCCCAAUCUUCUCAGG